Non-coding RNA from Lupinus angustifolius (narrow-leaved blue lupine), 82 nucleotides. Lineage: Eukaryota; Viridiplantae; Streptophyta; Magnoliopsida; Fabales; Fabaceae. The record is from Rfam.
UGGUGUGGAUGAUGAGAUUAACAAUUCUACAGUUAUCCCUGGCUGAUUUUGCAGUGAUGAUAAUUUGUAAUCUGACACACAC